UUUCUAGAAUACACACAAACAUUUGUAUCAUAUAUUGAUAGAAGAAGAGCCAAAAAAGUCGGAUACAAGUCUUUCAGCCAUUAUAAUGCCAAUCACAUGGAUUAACAACCCCAUCCACGAAGCACACCCACCACAUGUACUAUCAUACAUGUUCGACCUAGACCAACCUCAUGUCAAUGGCGAUGAGGCAAACCAUAGAGCAAUAAUGUCGUGUCACAGACCUCUACAACAAUAUCAAGACCCAGAGACAAUCCAGACCAACGUACCCCGUCCAAUGCGCCAAGAGAAAGUGGGCAAGUGGACGUGAGGGUCUGAACGGUCCACGAGAAGGCGUAGUUGAGAGAACACCGAAGAUGAACUACAUUGCACUCCGAAGGCCCACGCCAAG
Molecule: long non-coding RNA, 388 nt
Filed under: Hordeum vulgare
Lineage: Eukaryota; Viridiplantae; Streptophyta; Magnoliopsida; Poales; Poaceae
Description: long non-coding RNA (HVUL_LNC007167)
Source: RNAcentral